UACAGAGGGUGCAAGCGUUAAUCGGAAUUACUGGGCGUAAAGCGAGCGUAGGUGGCUUGAUAAGUCAGAUGUGAAAGCCCCGGGCUUAACCUGGGAGCGGCAUCUGAUACUGUUAGGCUAGAGUAGGUGAGAGGAAGGUAGAAUUCCAGGUGUAGCGGUGAAAUGCGUAGAGAUCUGGAGGAAUACCGAUGGCGAAGGCAGCCUUCUGGCAUCAUACUGACACUGAGGUUCGAAAGCGUGGGUAGCAAACAGG
RNAcentral lists this ribosomal RNA (253 nucleotides) under uncultured bacterium. RNAcentral's name for it is "partial 16S ribosomal RNA". It matches the Rfam family "Bacterial small subunit ribosomal RNA", at positions 524 to 776 of the family's 1533-position model. The record is from RNAcentral.